RNAcentral lists this ribosomal RNA (510 nucleotides) under uncultured bacterium. RNAcentral's name for it is "bacterial SSU rRNA". It matches the Rfam family "Bacterial small subunit ribosomal RNA", at positions 228 to 753 of the family's 1533-position model. The record is from RNAcentral.
AGUCUAUGUUCCCAUCAGCCUUGUUAGUGAGGUAAUGGCUCACCAAGGCUAUGACAGAUAUCUGGUUUGAGAGAAUGAUCAGACACACUGGAACUGAGACACGGUCCAGACUCCUACGGGAGGCAGCAGUGAGGAAUAUUGCACAAUGGAGGAAACUCUGAUGCAGCAACGCCGCGUGGAGGAUGACGCAUUUCGGUGUGUAAACUCCUUUUAUUAGGGAAGAUAAUGACGGUACCUAAUGAAUAAGCACCGGCUAACUCCGUGCCAGCAGCCGCGGUAAUACGGAGGGUGCAAGCGUUACUCGGAAUCACUGGGCGUAAAGGGUGCGUAGGCUGGCUUUUAAGUCAGAUGUGAAAUCCAAUGGCUCAACCAUUGAACUGCAUUUGAAACUGAAAGCCUAGAGUUCAGAAGGGGCAGAUGGAAUUAGUGGUGUAGGGGUAAAAUCCGUAGAUAUCACUAGGAAUAUCAAAAGCGAAGGCGAUCUGCUGGGAUGAUACUGACGCUGAGGCA